This is a long non-coding RNA of Etheostoma cragini (Arkansas darter), 164 nucleotides long. RefSeq lists it as uncharacterized. The record is from RefSeq and is a predicted model, not a curated record. Lineage: Eukaryota; Metazoa; Chordata; Actinopteri; Perciformes; Percidae. The transcript is spliced from 3 exons.
GACGUAUUUUAAUUCUACUGUUGCAUGCAUGUGUUGUGGUGUUUGCAUGACAAAUAAUAACAAGAAUGUGUUUCAUUGCUUUUGAAUUUUUUAAUUAUUUUAAAUGUCUCCUGUUGCUUUCGGGUAGGGUCUGUCUGUUAAACUGGCAAUGUGAGUCAUAUUCU